Molecule: ribosomal RNA, 457 nt
Filed under: uncultured bacterium
Lineage: Bacteria
Description: bacterial SSU rRNA
Rfam family: Bacterial small subunit ribosomal RNA
Source: RNAcentral
UCCUACGGGAGGCAGCAGUGGGGAAUAUUGGACAAGGGGCGCAAGCCUGAUCCAGCAAUGCCGCGUGGGUGAAGAAGGUUUUCGGAUUGUAAAGCCCUUUUGGCGGGGACGAUGAUGACGGUACCCGCAGAAUAAGCUCCGGCUAACUUCGUGCCAGCAGCCGCGGUAAUACGAAGGGGGCUAGCGUUGCUCGGAAUGACUGGGCGUAAAGGGCGCGUAGGCGGACUGCACAGUCAGGCGUGAAAUUCCUGGGCUUAACCUGGGGACUGCGUCUGAGACGUGUGAUCUAGAGUGGGGAAGAGGGUCGUGGAAUUUCCAGUGUAGAGGUGAAAUUCGUAGAUAUUGGAAAGAACACCGGUGCCGAAGGCGGCGACCUGGUCCUUUACUGACGCUGAGGCGCGAAAGCGUGGGGAGCAAACAGGAUUAGAUACCCUGGUAGUCCACGCCGUAAACGAUG